Molecule: long non-coding RNA, 940 nt
Organism: Epinephelus fuscoguttatus (brown-marbled grouper)
Lineage: Eukaryota; Metazoa; Chordata; Actinopteri; Perciformes; Serranidae
Exons: 4
Source: RefSeq, a predicted model, not a curated record
CUCCGGGCCGGGUACACAUAUCCUUGAUCAUAACCAUCAUGAAGGGUCUUUUGAACCGUUCUUCGUCUGACCCUUCGCCCAGAACCAAUCUGCCAUGGGAAACCCUACCAGGGGCAAAAUGCCCCCGACAGCAUAGCUCCUAGGGUCAUUAGGGCACUCAAACUCCUCCACCACGAUAAGGUGACGGUUCUCGGAGGAGUGUUAAAGUGUCAGUUAAGUUGUUAGGUGAGGUGUCAGUUAAAGUGUCAGGUGAAGUGUCAGUUAAAUUGUCAGGUGAGGUGUUAGUUAAAGUGUAAGGUGAAGUGUCAGUUAAAUUGUCAGGUGAAGUGUCAGUUAAGUUGUUAGGUGAGGUGUCAGUUAAAGUGUCAGGUGAAGUGUCAGUUAAGGUGUCAGUUAAGUUGUUAGGUGAGGUGUCAGUUAAAGUGUCAGGUGAAGUGUCAGGUGAAGUGUCAGUUAAGUUGUUAGGUGAGGUGUCAGUUAAAGUGUCAGGUGAAGUGUCAGGUGAGGUGUUAGUUAAAGUGUAAGGUGAAGUGUCAGUUAAAUUGUCAGGUGAAGUGUCAGUUAAGUUGUUAGGUGAGGUGUCAGUUAAAGUGUCAGGUGAAGUGUCAGUUAAAGGGUCAGGUGAAGUGUCAGUUAAAUUGUCAGGUGAAGUGUCAGUUAAGUUGUUAGGUGAGGUGUCAGUUAAAGUGUCAGGUGAAGUGUCAGUUAAAUUGUCAGGCGAGGUGUCAGUUAAAGGGUCAGGUGAAGUGUCAGUUAAAUUGUCAGGUGAAGUGUCAGUUAAGUUGUUAGGUGAGGUGUCAGUUAAAGUGUCAGGUGAAGUGUCAGGUGAGGUGUUAGUUAAAGUGUAAGGUGAGGUGUCAGUUAAAGUGUCAGUUAAAGUGUCAGGUGAAGUGUCAGUUAAGGUGUCAGUUAAAUUGUCAGGUGAAGUGUCAGUGAAAGU